Molecule: long non-coding RNA, 471 nt
Organism: Orbicella faveolata
Lineage: Eukaryota; Metazoa; Cnidaria; Anthozoa; Scleractinia; Merulinidae
Source: RefSeq, a predicted model, not a curated record
GGCAUCUGAAUGCAAAAUCACUCAUCCCAAAGGUAAAACGGUCCUGGAAGGAGACUUCAAAAUUUCACGGGGAUUCGUCUUACAAAUUUCAGCUCAUUUCCUUGAAGCGAAUUUGCAGCAAGAAUGGACAAAGAGGCAGGCCAUAAGACUGACGGAGGAUCUAAGAAUUUGAUGGAUAAAGAGGCAGCUUCUCGCAUCCAGAGUGCUGAGGCAAAACAACAUGGCGGCGGGGUGGAGAAAGGAAGCUUCGCUGCGCGUGCUCAGUCCACUGCUGACAAGCGUGAAAACCAGAAAGACUAGACAAGCAUGAAGACUAGAACAACUAGAACUUAAAAGUAGAUCGUGAAAAAGAAAAAUACGAACACCUUAAAAGUAAAAAUUUGUAAUUCGGCUAAUUUGGCACAACUGUCUAGCCGUAGAAUCGUUAAAUGUAUGUAGGAUUGUUCUUUGAUUAAAAGAUUACAAAUACAA